CGGGUAGUUUGGGGCAGGCAACCAGAGAACACCACCACACUGUUCCUGAUGACUAUCCAAGUCAGAGAGCCCCGAGAUCUAAUCCAGCCUCCUCAUCAUGUAGAUAAGGACAUUGAUGUGAAGUGACUUGGGGGUGGGGGAGCAUGAUGAGGCAGUCAAACAUAUGAGGACUUAUCUGUGAUGUCACAAAGGCUCCCCUUACUUCAGCAUCACCCUGGGCCUUGGGAGCCAGGACUUGUUUCGCUUCAGAAUUGUUUAUUAAAGGGAAUUUAGUGCCCUUCAUGUUGGGAAAGCAGAGGGAAUGGCUAAAGGCAAGAUGGGAAGUCCAAGAGACACUUGUUUGGCCCUUUGUAGCCAGGCGGGCUUGUGCAGUUGAAGGGGCUGAGGUGACAGAAUGAGACCAUGAAGAGGAAGCCUAUCAGGACCAGCCCACCAACGGAGUGAAGACAAGGAGUUUGCUAUAUUGCUAUAGAGUUUGCUAUAUUGCUGAAAUGGUAGAUACGGAUAAUAGAAGGAAAUAAACAAUAAUGAGAAUAAGGAUGUCUUUCUUUAGAGAGACUCCAGUCUCAAAGCCCUGUGGGAUUUACAACUUGGAGCCACUAACUAACCAGCUCAUCAGAGAAUGACCUGUCAGCAUUGCCAAUAUUUUCUUUAAUGAGGUAUUGCUGUGGUAUUGGCACCUGGCGAACUGUUUGUCCAUAGUAAGCUGGCACAUAGUGGUCUCCAGACGUGGGCUCCUAGAGCAGUUGAUGCCAAGAUUCUGUCCACACUUGCAGCUGGAGGCCUUGGGGACCCCGUGCAUCACUUCCAUGGAGCCAUGGAUGAAGUUAUUGCUCAACCUGCAUGACCCAUUAGCUUCGGAAACUUUUCUCCAGACCACCACGUCAUUGCAAUACUCUUUGUCGUUACCUGGGCUGUCUCCUCCGGGGAAGCUAUAAUGUAAUCUUCUGAAUGUCAAUAACGAGGAAGACAGACUAUCCUUGGACGUACUGGCACUAGUAUUUUUAUGUAACAGAGUCAAGUUCAUUAAUA
Acinonyx jubatus (cheetah) is the source of this 1032-nucleotide long non-coding RNA. RefSeq lists it as uncharacterized. The record is from RefSeq and is a predicted model, not a curated record. Lineage: Eukaryota; Metazoa; Chordata; Mammalia; Carnivora; Felidae. The transcript has 3 exons.